UUAGCUGGGGUCCGGUCCCGCCAAGCUUAUGCCGGGGCGCGAUCGUUCGGCGUUCUGUCACGGUCAGACUGGAGGAAGUUAAGUCUGUGUGGGGUCUGUGCCUGACUUACAGGGCGCGUCAGCGGACUGAGGCCCUGACCCCUGCCGUCCGCGUGACCUUCCAGGCGCCCUGACCGAAACUUUUCAUAAGCUGACAGUGUUUUUUAAAUCAUAGUUGGCAGGAUCAGUUUGGUGGGUCACGGACUAACAGUGGUUUGUUUUGUUUUGUUUUGUUUUUUUAAGCCUGUAGGGGCACCUGGCUGGCUCAGUAGGGGAGGAGCAUGGGACUUUUGAUACCAGGAUUCCCCGUGGAUGGCCUGCGAGUGGCAUUUUCUGGGUACAACUGAGGCAUCCAGCUGGUGCUCCUUACAUGUUAGCAGAACAAAUCCCACCCACUGUCCCUGAGGAGGCCAUCCAUUCCUUACCGAAGCAAUCCACUAUCCUACUGGCAGUUAUCAGCUCCAGGGAGCCAAGGUCACAGUUCUCUCCGUUUCUGGGCCUUCGAGUCAUGAGGAUCAGUCUCUGAUGUGGGACAGGGAUACAGCCACCCCUCCCAGGCAACUGGCAGCAAAACAUGAGAGGAGAACAGCAGAAAGGUGGAGCCAACCGUGGGAGAACCACACUUCUAGAGCCCCAAAAGGGCAAAAACAGUCACACAAGAACAGAAGAGCUCUUAAGAAUAGUGGGCUGGAUUCUAAAACUGGGACCCAAACACCUGGACAUUUCCUGUGUCCCUGCUGUGAUUGGCACUGGGCUGGGGGCACAGAUCUGAAGCCCACAGAACCCUGCCUUCAGGAGCUCAGAGUUGGUGGGUCCAGGAGAAGUGGAAUAAAUGAGGCAGAGUAUGAAACCCUGAGAGAGUUGGUCCUGCUGACCUCUUCAGUACCCUUCCCCUCACCCCUUGGCCUUGUACCUCACGCUCAUGGUCAAAAUGGACUAUGGUGGUUACCCAAACACACUGCCAGGUGCUCGUACCCCUGCUAUUUUCACUUCACUACUUGGAAUACUUUUCCUCCUCUUUGCCUAAUAAUCCUUCAAGCCUCAGCUAAAAUGUUACCUUCCUGCUGAAUGUUCUUUCAUUUUAUUAAAGAAAUACAGGCAUCAAUUGAGUGCUUACUACACUCUUACUCACCUCUCCCUCCCAGCUCUGGCAGAAAUAAUUAC
Molecule: long non-coding RNA, 1203 nt
Organism: Prionailurus viverrinus (fishing cat)
Lineage: Eukaryota; Metazoa; Chordata; Mammalia; Carnivora; Felidae
Exons: 4
Source: RefSeq, a predicted model, not a curated record